RNAcentral lists this microRNA (20 nucleotides) under Chrysemys picta bellii (western painted turtle). RNAcentral describes it as "Cpi-Mir-490_5p* (star (passenger))". Lineage: Eukaryota; Metazoa; Chordata; Testudines; Emydidae. The record is from RNAcentral. RNAcentral also lists the same sequence under 27 other names.
CCAUGGAUCUCCAGGUGGGU